RNAcentral lists this long non-coding RNA (2315 nucleotides) under Ooceraea biroi (clonal raider ant). Its description in RNAcentral is "uncharacterized LOC105282871". Lineage: Eukaryota; Metazoa; Arthropoda; Insecta; Hymenoptera; Formicidae. The record is from RNAcentral.
UACCACAUUUUUAUGAAAUUAAGGACAUGAAAAAAUUUUACUAUCUUUAUAGCAUGUCGAGUUAGCUUGAAAUAAGAAUUUUUAUGUAAUAUCUGUUGUUUACCUUUUUAGUUGCAUAUUGUGGACAUGUGUAUGCAUUUUGCGUAACGUAAUUUAUAAUAAAUAAUAAUCGAUGCAUCCGAAGUGAAGCUCGAGGCCAUUAAUGCAAGUCCAUUAACAUUAAAAAUUUCUUGUUAUACGCUUCUCUGAUCUUAUCUAUUUUGAUAAAAGUAUUUUCAAUAAAACAUAAAAUUCAUUUCAAUGGAAUAUGAUAACAAUAAAUAUAUAAUUAUUACGUGUUUAAUUUUAAUACGAACGUAUAAAUUGCUAUUAACACUUUUCCAAGUUUUAUUAUCUUUUCGCAAAUAUUAAUUAUAAUUUCUUCUGAUAAAUAUUGUGAAUUUAACAUAUAUGAUUUCAGUGAAUAAACCAAGUUUUAAACUAAAUCACGUAAAGAAUAUUAUGCAACUAAAAGUGAUUAAAAUAUAUUGUGAUACUAUAUGGUUCAGAUAAUUUUGUUCUGAAUUUGUUAUUAUACAAUGUUUUUUCACUACCAAACUCACGAUGAGUUUGACGCUUGGAAUAUUCUCUGGAGAUUCCUUCCAUCGCUCGGUGAGCGAGAUCGGAUGCAUCAUAGAAGCGAGAUUACAUUGGUAAAGAUAACAUUGCAUCAACAUAGAGAAGAUAUUCCACAUCUAACGGAAAUUGAAGGACUUGCACACACAUGACAUCAAAAUUGAAAAUUAUAAAUUAUAGUUUCAGAGACAUAUUGAAUGUCAAGUUCCCUUUGUUGCAAAGAAAUAUUUCGUCGAUGUUUUUCUUUCACAAAAGCAUUGUGAAAUAUAUUAUUAUUAUUGUAGACCCGACUGCAAGAUGUGAGAAAGUAAAGUUGAAGGAUCAGGAUAUAAAUAUGCGAUACUGGACAGCGUCUCAGUAUAAUGAGAAAAAUUCGGUAAUUAGUAAAAGAAAUAAAAUUAUAAAUUACAAAGCCAGUUUGCUCAGGUGCCGUAUGUUUGCCCCGCUAAUCAUCCGCUUUGACCGAAUGAUCCGAUUUCGGGCGGUGCCCUUUAGGCGUUAACCUCGUCCACGGAAGACAGUGUAGCGCGCGCGGUAACGACUUUAUUAGGAUUAUCGACGUGCGCACGUGCCUCACCCCCUGACAUUUCAACUCUUGACGAUGUUCGUUAUGGAAAGUGGGCCUUCGGCCGACGCCCUCCCCGCCGACCCUUCCGCCCCGUUCGCGUCACCAGCGGAGGCGCGCGACGGCUAAUUGCUAAUUAUCUUACGGUUUUAAUCAAUCAGUCAGAACGACACAUUGUGCAGUCAUGGCAGAUGUUGCGCAACCGCGCUGCAGCCCUUCCGCCAGGUAAUCAAGUCCAGAUCGUUCGUAUAAUUGGCCGGGUUACGUGAUCCCGUCGCGUUACACGCCUGUCGUUGUUACUCCCGUCGCGCCCGCUCGUUACGGUAUUACGUGAACUUCAUUAUUCCGCAGUUCGCUGUAAUUCAGCGGGGCGCAAGGGGGUAAAUCUGCCGCGGAUCGGCGCGGGAGAAAGCGAUCUCGUCGUUACAGGCGUCGCUACCUCCCUCUCUCUCUCACGCACACGCUCUUUCUCGCCAGCGAGAUUGCAGUCUGGCGCCCUGGACACAUAUAUUUCACGCCUUGUUGCGAGUAAGUGGCUUCUUCCAGUGACGGGAUUAAUGCCGUGAGGCGCGCUGCACAGCGUAUAAUAUUCGCUGACUCGUAUUUCAAAAGACGCGCGUAGGGUUUAUUUCAGUGCUCCUUGUUUCAACGCUCGUAUCAGUUACUGGAACAAUAUUUGUGUCGGUUACUGUAACUAGUACUCGACGAUUUGACUUGAAAUUUUACCACGUGCAACAAUAAUUUUAACAAUAAUUUGGACGAGGAAAAAUAUGAAAAAUGGAAUUUUGCCGCCUUAAUAGCCAUAUAUCCGGUGAUCAAUUUGGCUUAAUUGAGAUUCGAUAUAUCGAUUCAAGUUCCUAAACCACUACAUGACCACGCGAAGUUGUUAAUUAGUCUCUUGCAUCCUGUAUUCGACCCAGUUACUCGGAUAGUCAGAGCAAGCGUCAUCGCGCGUAAGCAUCAGCUAAGAAAAAGCGCAGGAUACGAGCGCAGGAGGUAAAGCGAGGGAAUCACGGGACGGAUCGACGGAGAAAAGCGGAACGGUACAUCGGAGGCGAUUACGAGGAGAAGGAUCGAAGAGACGUAACACAGGGAUAAAAAAGCAGAUUGAAGAAGAAGUAGAAGAAGAAGAAAA